Molecule: ribosomal RNA, 253 nt
Filed under: uncultured bacterium
Lineage: Bacteria
Description: partial 16S ribosomal RNA
Rfam family: Bacterial small subunit ribosomal RNA
Source: RNAcentral
UACAGAGGUCCCAAGCGUUGUUCGGAUUCAUUGGGCGUAAAGGGUGCGUAGGCGGCGCGGUAAGUCGGGUGUGAAAUCUCGGGGCUUAACUCCGAAACUGCAUUCGAUACUGCCGUGCUUGAGGACUGGAGAGGAGACUGGAAUUUACGGUGUAGCGGUGAAAUGCGUAGAUAUCGUAAGGAAGACCAGUGGCGAAGGCGGGUCUCUGGACAACACCUGACACUGAGGCACGAAAGCUAGGGGAGCAAACAGG